AUGUUGGAGCCCAGGAGCCAGACGCCACCUUCGACGACGACUCCUACUACACCGGAGGUGCCUACUACUACGUGCUGCCCGCUGACGACGACCAGGAGUAGUUUAGGAGGAUCCCAGGCAGGAGGCCUGCGCCUCCUUCGAUUUGUAUCCCAGUUUGUGCUAGCCUUCUUAAGGCAAACUUGUUUAACUUAUGUUUGUACUCAGAUAUUGUUGCUUCCCUGA
RNAcentral lists this ribosomal RNA (222 nucleotides) under Triticum aestivum (bread wheat). Its description in RNAcentral is "partial small subunit ribosomal RNA". Lineage: Eukaryota; Viridiplantae; Streptophyta; Magnoliopsida; Poales; Poaceae. The record is from RNAcentral.